RNAcentral lists this transfer RNA (73 nucleotides) under Pelodiscus sinensis (Chinese soft-shelled turtle). It matches the Rfam family "tRNA". Rfam says of the family: Transfer RNA (tRNA) molecules are approximately 80 nucleotides in length. Their secondary structure includes four short double-helical elements and three loops (D, anti-codon, and T loops). The record is from Rfam by way of RNAcentral. Lineage: Eukaryota; Metazoa; Chordata; Testudines; Trionychidae.
GCCAAAGUAGCUCAAUGGGGAGUGCAUUAGACUGAAGAUUUAAAGGUCCCUUGUUCAAUCCCAAGCUUUGGUA